This 253-nucleotide ribosomal RNA is filed under the name uncultured bacterium. Its description in RNAcentral is "partial 16S ribosomal RNA". It matches the Rfam family "Bacterial small subunit ribosomal RNA", at positions 524 to 776 of the family's 1533-position model. The record is from RNAcentral.
UACGAAGGCCCCAAGCGUUAUCCGGAAUUACUGGGUGUAAAGCGUCUGUAGGUGGGACUAUAAGUCUCUCAUGAAAGACCGGAGCUCAACUCCGUGUUUGUGAGAGAUACUGUAGACCUAGAAUCGGGGAGAGGGAAGUAGAAUUGUAUGAGUAGGGGUGCAAUCCGUUGAUACAUACAAGAAUACCAAAAGCGAAGGCAACUUCCUGGAACCGUAUUGACACUGAGAGACGAAAGCGUGGGGAGCGAAAAGG